GGAUGUGAGGGCGAUCUGGCUGCGACAUCUGUCACCCCACUGAUCGCCAGGGUUGAUUCGGCUGAUCUGGCUGGCUAGUCGGGUGUCCCCUUCCUUCCUCAUCGCUCCAUGUGCGUCCCUUCCAAAGCUGCGUACUCCGUGGAAGAGGACCACCAUCCCUGCUAGAGAAGGACUGGUCUUCAGUCAAGGGUAUACAAUAGCUGUGCUCCCCUGCUAGAAAUUCCAAACAAGCUCUCAAGGAAAAGUGAUUACAAAUGUUGGUAUUUGCUAAAAACAGGUAUCAAGAAGAGCACAGUGGGAGAGUAUAUAGGACCUAACAAGCACAGCAGACUUUGCUAGACAAGUGGAUCUGCAAGAAUCU
Unclassified non-coding RNA from Ochotona princeps (American pika), 361 nucleotides. Its record names the gene 7SK. It matches the Rfam family "7SK RNA". Rfam says of the family: 7SK was discovered as an abundant small nuclear RNA in the mid-70s but a possible function has only recently been suggested. Two independent studies have found that 7SK RNA binds the CDK9/cyclin T complex (known as elongation factor P-TEFb). The record is from Ensembl. NCBI's taxonomy places the organism in Eukaryota, Metazoa, Chordata, Mammalia, Lagomorpha, Ochotonidae.